This 255-nucleotide ribosomal RNA is filed under the name uncultured bacterium. RNAcentral's name for it is "partial 16S ribosomal RNA". It matches the Rfam family "Bacterial small subunit ribosomal RNA", at positions 524 to 777 of the family's 1533-position model. The record is from RNAcentral.
UACGUAGGGUGCAAGCGUUAAUCGGAAUUACUGGGCGUAAAGCGUGCGCAGGCGGUUUUGUAAGUCUGUCGUGAAAUCCCCGGGCUCAACCUGGGAAUUGCGAUGGAGACUGCAAGGCUAGAAUCUGGCAGAGGGGGGGUAGAAUUCCACGUGUAGCAGUGAAAUGCGUAGAGAUGUGGAGGAACACCGAUGGCGAAGGCAGCCCCCUGGGUCAAGAUUGACGCUCAUGCACGAAAGCGUGGGGAGCAAACGAGG